This 73-nucleotide transfer RNA is filed under the name Cavia porcellus (domestic guinea pig). It matches the Rfam family "tRNA". Rfam says of the family: Transfer RNA (tRNA) molecules are approximately 80 nucleotides in length. Their secondary structure includes four short double-helical elements and three loops (D, anti-codon, and T loops). Further hydrogen bonds mediate the characteristic L-shaped molecular structure. tRNAs have two regions of fundamental functional importance: the anti-codon, which is responsible for specific mRNA codon recognition, and the 3' end, to which the tRNAs corresponding amino acid is attached (by aminoacyl-tRNA synthetases). tRNAs cope with the degeneracy of the genetic code in two manners: having more than one tRNA (with a specific anti-codon) for a particular amino acid; and 'wobble' base-pairing, i.e. permitting non-standard base-pairing at the 3rd anti-codon position. Lineage: Eukaryota; Metazoa; Chordata; Mammalia; Rodentia; Caviidae. The record is from Rfam by way of RNAcentral.
GGAGAUUUAGCUCAGUAGGCUAAGUGCCUGCCUGGCAAGCACAAGGUCAUGAGUUCGAUACUCCUAUCCUCCC